GAAAUUUGAGGAAUUUGUCAAAGAGAUUGAAGCUAUGUGAGUAAAAUUCGGAGUUAAGGAGGAGGGCUGGAUUUUAGCCUCAAAAUUGGGUUUAAUUGGUGGAUUUUAGACUAGAAAGUAUUGAGGAAAUAUAAGAUAAGGUUUGAGGCAAGAGGGGGGACCAAGCAUUAAUUGUUGAAGAUAUUUUGCUUGGAUUUUUGCUCAUCUUCCUUCGCACGUCAUCUUCACCGGUUCUUUCCCCUUUGCUGUCUCCUUUUAAAACGGAUUGAAGCCGACUCCCCUUCCUAAAGAACGAACCGCCUCUGCCUUAUUUCAUCUUGGUCUUCCUCGUUGCACCUUCGCCAAAUCAACACCAAUUCUCAGCCACCAAUCCACUUUCGAGCUGCCUCUACUGUUUUUCCAUUCGUUCCUUCGAAGAUUGAAGCUGUUGUAUCCCCACCAACGUCCACGAAGCAGCUCCUCUCGUCCGCAUCUUCACCAGUCCACGCGUCUUCAGCUUCUUCGGUCAGAACCCCCAGCGAAGGACCACCGCUGUUGACUCCAAACCCACCGAAGAAAUCCCCAUGCGUCCGCCGAAGAUCAGCGAAGCCAGCUCGCCUUCUCCUCCGUUCCCCUUUGCCACGCUAGCCCACGUGCCUUCCAGCUACCAGAGUUGGUCAACCAACUGACUUCAACGUUGUGGAUUUCGGCCAGCUCAAAGACCAAGCGAAGCUGCUACCGCGCGUCUUCUGGUUGUCUGCCCACCGUCCGCGAGCAGCUCAGCAUCUUCGGUCUCCUCUGCCAACGAAUCCAGCCGCGUGAAGUCCAAGCGAAGCAGCUGCUCCUUCGCCGUUGAUCUUCACCGAGUCAG
Molecule: long non-coding RNA, 850 nt
Filed under: Eucalyptus grandis
Lineage: Eukaryota; Viridiplantae; Streptophyta; Magnoliopsida; Myrtales; Myrtaceae
Description: long non-coding RNA (EGRA_LNC000057)
Source: RNAcentral